Brassica napus (rape) is the source of this 2353-nucleotide RNA transcript. RefSeq lists it as uncharacterized. NCBI's taxonomy places the organism in Eukaryota, Viridiplantae, Streptophyta, Magnoliopsida, Brassicales, Brassicaceae. The record is from RefSeq and is a predicted model, not a curated record. The transcript is spliced from 6 exons.
UAUUUGGGGACUACAAGAGACGAAUCUUAUGAACACGUGUCCCAUCGUUUGCGACUCUGAUCUCUUCUUCCCCGACUUCGCUCUUCUUCAAUUUCUCCCGAUUCGCAGCGAGAGAGAGAGAUGGCUCCGCCGGCAACGGAGCGGUGGUGCUGGGCAUUGAUUAGGGUUAAUCUUUUCCCAUCUUUUUUUCCAAUUCAGAUUUUGAUUUUAAUCUCAAGAUGCAAACGCAUCAGAUAUAAAGAGAUCAUGCGAUUAUUGAUUCUUCUUUCUUAGUCAAAAUCGCCACUGCUUACGAGAUAUUGAAAGGACUGGUGUUCGAUCACGCUGCUCAGUUCUUCAUUGCAGAUGAUUCUCGUCUUAUCCAGUACGUCGAUGGAUGGUUAGAGAAAGGACUUGUUCGAGAGUGGAAAGGUGUUGUGGGAGAGCUUGAAGUUGGAGGCAAUUUCUCGCAGUUUCCUCCUUCAUGGCCUCCAAGAUACAUUGCUGUUCACGGCAUGCGAUCUCUCGCUGAUUCAUUGCUAUUAGAGAGUCGAUUGUCAUUGCUCACAAUGGUAAGAACGGAACAUCUCGUGGUCAGUUUGAUGUCAUUGUCAUUGCUCACAAUGGUAAAUGUGCGAACCGUUUGCUGUCUGCAUCAGGCUUGCCCCUCGUUGCUAAACAGAUGAAGAAUUUUGAUCUUAGCUCCAUAUGGACGCUACUAGCAGCGUUCGAUGAUCCUCUUCCUACAGUGAACUUUGAAGGAGCGUUUGUGAAAGGAGUUGAAUCAUUGUCUUGGAUGGGAAACAACUCCGCAAAGCUUGGCUUCGGUAGUUUGGGAUGAACAAAGCAAAGAAUAUACUAGUUGUUCCUGGAAGUUCAUUGGCAUUGCAAUUUUUUUGUUUAUCUCAUCAAAAGUUUCUUUGGAGCAACUCAGACUUAUCAUAAACCUUCCAAGUUCCACCAUGAUUUGGUUUCAUCUCUAUACUAGUCCUUUGGUUGAUGUUUGAGUUGUCAUAAACAAAUACUUUAGCUUUUUGGCAAUGUUUUUUUUUUGUGGCAAUGUUCACCUUCUUCUAAUUCAUUUCAAUUUUUUUAAGAACCUUUAAAUAAAGGAUUUGCAAUGGAAGACAUAAAUGAUCGGGUCUCUUAACGUAGUCUCUUAACACAUAUUUAUUGCUUAAAAAUAUUAAACAAUAAAUAAGAGAUUCUAAUUGGGUAUUUGGGAUAAUGAUGCUCUUAGAUGGUUCCCGGAAUCUUGAAACUCAUGUCCAAAUUAAACCUUCUAUGUUACAAAUUUACCAUACAAUUAUAAUAAUGAAAUAAUAAUAACGUACAUGGAAACUCCUCUAUUAUUGAUUAUAGCUAGGAGCGCAUUGUACAGAUUAAGCAUGAGUAAGCUUUUAUCAUUAUUCUCAUCGUUUAGUUUUCUCAAUUCUUAACGGAGAAGAUUGUUGUGGAGCUUUGUGAACAUGUCGCUGGUCUUGCAGCCUUCAGAAAUGAUAUGUCACACAUUUUCACGGUGGUGAUAAAGCCACAAACACCUUUCUCAUUCCCAAGUACUCCUUAAUUAAUGCACUUUACAUCCAACAAAAUCUCUUUCACAACUCUACUUAUCAGUGCUGGACUACCCUGAAGUUCUUAUUUAUAACAAUAUAUGGUUACAUAAACAUUGUAUCUACUACAAAACAUCGUCAUCAUGUAUAUCUGAAGGGUACCAUUGAGUUUGUUGUAAGUAACGGGACUUAGUUUCUUCGACAGGUACUUGUCAACUAGGAACUUUAUAUUUCAUGAUUUUAGUGUCAUAUACCAAGUAUAACAAGGUAUGUCACAAAAGUAUGGUUCUAACAUAACCUAAUGGCUUAAAUAAAAAUAUUGAGAACUGUAUUAUUUCCACUGAUGUAAUUUACUAUACUUGCAGGGUUUCACAAAUACUACGAAGAGAAUAUUGGGGUUUCUGCUGGAAGUGAAGCAAGUCUGUUUCUUAAUAUCUGUCAACGACUUAUGCAGAUGCUUGUAGAUUCUCCGAUAAACUAUAAAUUCCCAAAAAGUAAGGAGUCGCAUGAGUUUAGAACGAAGAUAUGGCUUAUGUAAUGUUUGGCUCAACUUCUUCCACUGGUUGUGCGGCUUGUGCCAAGAAAGAAGAAGAAAAUAUAUAGCACAAAUGGAUUUUGGGCCUGCGUUGAAGCCCACUCAUCGAAGCCCAAUAUCUUUCUGCUCUCACUCUCUGCCUUAAUCACCAAAACGCACAUUCACUCAUUUCAGUCGGAGCAGUCAACUUCUUCAGAACUUGAUUUGACGAACAAAGACUCGGUGGGAUCUCUUUUGCUACGUCUAUAUUAUUAAAUCAGGAUCCUGUUGGUUUUUUUACCUACAA